UACGAUUAUGCGAGCAUAUCAUGCUUAUUAAUUAAUAUAAGGUAGGAUGUCAGCUAUGGAGGCUAUCAGAGUUUCUAUUUCAUGUGGUAUCUUAAUUACUCUUUUUAUUAGCUAUUUAUGAUUCUAUGUUUUGCCUUACAUACCAGUACAUUUUAUCCACGUGAACGUCCCAUUGCUUGGAAACGUUGCGUUUUUGUUUCAUGCAUGCAGGUCCAAAUAAGGAUUCUAAUUAACCUCUCCACUAGGAUUUAUGAUUCAGCUAUCAGUUGCUCCACUUCAUAAGGUGUAGAAUGCCCACAGUUAAGCUAGUUGGUAGGUUUCAGUGGCUAACUCGAUUGCAUAAGGUGUAGAAUGCCAAUCACGCCUCCCCUAGUCCGGGGCGUGACAAUAUGUACACAAUUUAUAAAUUGUUUAAAAUACAACAAUUAGAAACCACAUAUAAACCAACAAAUAAUAUAUUCAAUUAAGAUCACAAAUGUCAUGUGGUGAUAUAUUUGCCUUUUCAAUUAGUAAAUAUUAAACAACUC
RNAcentral lists this long non-coding RNA (527 nucleotides) under Solanum lycopersicum (tomato). Its description in RNAcentral is "long non-coding RNA (SLYC_LNC000871)". Lineage: Eukaryota; Viridiplantae; Streptophyta; Magnoliopsida; Solanales; Solanaceae. The record is from RNAcentral.